CGCAGCACCUGGGAGGGCGCGUGUGACUCGUCUCCCAGGUCGUUUGGGCUGGAGUAGGCGGAGGAACGCACCGCGAGCACCAACGUCCCGCCCCUGUCUUGGCGGUCCUCAGGCUUUACAGGAGGCAUGGUGCUGGCAUCUGCUUGGCUUCUAGGGAGGCCUCAGGAAGCUGACAAGCAUGGUGGAAGGUGAAGGAGGAGCAGGCCAUAACAUAGCAAAAGGAGGAGCAUCAAGACCAAUGAAAGUUUCAAUAAGAAAUAAAAAAAGCAGGAGCAAGCAAGAGAGAGAGUGGGGGGAGAUGCCACUUACUUUUAAGUGAUCAGAUGUUUUGUGAACUCAGAGUAAGAGCUCACUUAUCACCAAGGAGAUGGCCCAAGCCAUUCGUGAGGAAUCCACCCCCAUGAUCCAAAUACCUUUCACCAGGCUCCACCUCCAGCACUGGGGAUUAAAAUUCAACAUGAGAUUUGGGUGGGGACAAAUACCCAAACUAUAUUACUGCCCUACUCCAGAUGAACACCUUAAAGAAAUUGCACCCCUCCCACUGGAUGCUUCAGCAUGGAGACUGUGGGGUGGCGCCCUGUCAACAUGCCCACCGAGCACUAAGUGAAGGACAAUAAAGAGUCAGUGUCUCUACACUAGAGACUUGGGGAGGAUUUCAGAGAAGAGAGAACUGGAGAGAAAAAUCUUUAACUCUGUGUAUGAAGUCCUGAGCACACCUCUGAGCAGCUCAUGCUUGAAACUGACCAGAAUCAAUAAAGCAGAAACUUUGAGAAUUCAACUAUGGUGUGGAAUACUGCCUAGGUUUCAGAUUAACCUCUAGGUAGCACACAAACAGGGUGGAUGGAAUACUACUCGGCCAUAAACAGAAUGAAUUAAUGGCAUUUGCAGCAACCUGGAUGAGAUUGGAGACUUAUUCUAAGUGAAGUAACUCAAGAAUGGAAAACCAAACGCUGUAUGUUCUUACUCAUAAGUGGAAGCUAAGCUAUGAGGAUGCAAAGGCAUAAGAAUGACAUAAUGGACUUUGGGGACUCGGGGGAAAGGGUGAGAAGGAGGUGAGGGAUAAAAGACUACAAAUUGAGUGCAGUAUACACUGCUUGGGUGAUGGGUGCACCAAAAUCUCACAAAUCACCACUAAAGAAGCUACUCGUAACCAGACACCACCUGUUCCCCAGUAACCUAUGGAAAAAAAUUUUUAAAUAAAUUAUAACAAUGCCUGAUACGCUUUUCAUUGUAUGCAGAGGUAAUAUUUAAGACAACUAUGUUAUAAAGAAUGGGAGAGCAAAGGGACUUAAAUGGUGGUAAGGUUUCUGUAUUUCUCUUGAAAUGGUAAAAUAUUGAUAUUACUAGACUGAUAAGGA
Molecule: long non-coding RNA, 1358 nt
Filed under: Homo sapiens (human)
Lineage: Eukaryota; Metazoa; Chordata; Mammalia; Primates; Hominidae
Description: HSALNT0317783
Source: RNAcentral